This is a long non-coding RNA of Chinchilla lanigera (long-tailed chinchilla), 646 nucleotides long. RefSeq lists it as uncharacterized. The transcript has 5 exons. The record is from RefSeq and is a predicted model, not a curated record. NCBI's taxonomy places the organism in Eukaryota, Metazoa, Chordata, Mammalia, Rodentia, Chinchillidae.
UGGCAGCUGAGCGGCCCGGGGGGCGGCGUGGGGAGUCGUAUUGCUGGGUUCUUCGCCUGCACUGGGGGUGCCAAGCUUCCGUAGAGGGUUUUAAAGCUCACGGAUGUUUCAGCUAGAGCUGCUGCAUUGAAUAUGCAAAUGAUGAAGCCCCUGGCUUGUAAUAAUGCUCUACAAAAAGAAGUCCUGGCUGCAAAGCAUAGGCUUGGUGCAAGAAAAGAAUGGUUCGUAAACUUGUUGCCUGAAAGAACACACAGGAAGGCACACAACUGAACCACUGGAUCAUUAAAAGGGAGAUCAUCUGCUUUAACGUGAAGCCUAAGAAGUGGAUACAAAAACAGAGUAUAAUAUACAAAUUUGCCUCAAAGCAAUAUAUGAUAUACACAUCUAAGUCUAGCAAAACAAGUUGUUUUCAUACUUUCCUAGCAAGAUGAGCCUCAGCCUACCUCGUAGACGAGAAUUCCUUCUGGGACGUUGCUUCAGCAACCGAAUUUUGCAGUCUGGGCGAACAUCUGUGACAGGAUAGCGCCUGAGUGGCUGCCGCUUUUGUUGCCGCCUACUAGAGAUGUUCUCAAGGCACCUAGUCUCCAUUGCCAAGAGAUAACCAAGGGUUUUGCAAUGCAGUUCAGGCUGGUCUUGAACUCAGUUU